AAAGGGAAAGAUGAGAACAGAGGAGCAGGGAAGAAAGAGGAGGUGGGGGAGAGGUGUGAGAGGGGGUCAAAGACAGAAAGGGAAAGAUGAGAACAGAGGAGCAGGGAAGAAGUAGGAGGUGGGGGAGAGGUGUGAGAGGGGGUCAAAGACAGAAAGGGAAAGAGCAGAACAGAGCAGAACAGAGGAGCAGGGAAGAAAGCUUAUGAUUCAUGAAUCACAGUGCAACUAAACUACGUAUUCUCUCAGGUCAUCACAGUUACAUAAUAGUAUCUCUACCGGUGUCUCCUAACCAGCCUUGGGCCCCCAGUUGGGUUGUCUUUGAGCGGAUGAGGUGACG
Molecule: long non-coding RNA, 337 nt
Organism: Oncorhynchus tshawytscha (Chinook salmon)
Lineage: Eukaryota; Metazoa; Chordata; Actinopteri; Salmoniformes; Salmonidae
Source: Ensembl